GAUGAACGCUGGCGGCGUGCUUAACACAUGCAAGUCGAACGAAUUUCUUACUAAUUGCGACUUCGGUCAAGAGAAGUUUGAAGUGAGUGGCGGACGGGUGAGUAACGCGUGGGUAACCUGCCUUACACCGGGGGAUAACAGAGGGAAACUUCUGCUAAUACCGCAUAAGACCACAGUGCCGCAUGGUACAGAGGUAAAAGUUCCGGCGAUGUAAGAUGGACCCGCGUCUGAUUAGCCAGUUGGCGGGGUAACGGCCCACCAAAGCGACGAUCAGUAGCCGACCUGAGAGGGUGAUCGGCCACAUUGGGACUGAGACACGGCCCAAACUCC
This 330-nucleotide ribosomal RNA is filed under the name uncultured Lachnospiraceae bacterium. RNAcentral's name for it is "bacterial SSU rRNA". It matches the Rfam family "Bacterial small subunit ribosomal RNA", at positions 28 to 339 of the family's 1533-position model. The record is from RNAcentral. Lineage: Bacteria; Bacillati; Bacillota; Clostridia; Lachnospirales; Lachnospiraceae.